Molecule: ribosomal RNA, 403 nt
Filed under: Verrucomicrobiota bacterium
Lineage: Bacteria; Pseudomonadati; Verrucomicrobiota
Description: Verrucomicrobia bacterium partial 16S ribosomal RNA
Rfam family: Bacterial small subunit ribosomal RNA
Source: RNAcentral
UGGGGAAUAUUGCACAAUGGGCGCAAGCCUGAUGCAGCAACGCCGCGUGAACGAUGAAGGUCUUCGGAUCGUAAAGUUCUGUUGCAGGGGAAGAUAAUGACGGUACCGAAAAAGCAAGCCACGGCUAACUACGUGCCAGCAGCCGCGGUAAUACGUAGGUGGCAAGCGUUGUCCGGAAUUAUUGGGCGUAAAGCGCGCGCAGGCGGUCACUUAAGUCCAUCUUAGAAGUGCGGGGCUUAACCCCGUGAUGGGAUGGAAACUGGGAGACUGGAGUAUCGGAGAGGAAAGUGGAAUUCCUAGUGUAGCGGUGAAAUGCGUAGAUAUUAGGAAGAACACCGGUGGCGAAGGCGACCUUCUGGACGAAAACUGACGCUGAGGCGCGAAAGCGUGGGGAGCAAACAGG